Molecule: long non-coding RNA, 2811 nt
Filed under: Haliotis rufescens (red abalone)
Lineage: Eukaryota; Metazoa; Mollusca; Gastropoda; Lepetellida; Haliotidae
Description: uncharacterized LOC124144148
Source: RNAcentral
ACUACUACUACUACUACUACUACUACAACACCGGAAACUACAACUUUGCUGAUACCUUGCAGUUUCGAGUACAUGGGUUGUUAUCUCGAUGACCGAAACAGAAUGUUAAAGGACUUCCGGGAGGAAAGUGAUGUUAUGACUCGGGACUGGUGCUUGGUGAAAUGCAGAGAGGGCAACUAUACAUUUGCUGGUCUGGAGCACUACAAACAUUGCUUCUGUGGCGACUCCUAUGUUGAGUCCGUGUACCCAAAGAAGGCCGAGUCCGAGUGUAACACGCCAUGUACAGGGAAUCCACAACAGAUGUGUGGAGGCGUGUGGAGACUGUCCGUGUUUAUAUGUCGCUGACACAGGUCAAUUGAUGUACAUGGGGAAUAAUUGAGUUAUAAGUGUUUCGUAUUUCCCAUAGGCACAAUAAUUCAACAUAAGUUUAGUACCAUUUUAUUAUCUUCAAACAAGGUUCCAAUAACCCCAGUCCGCUUUCAUUACCCACCAACAAAAACAUUUAAACCCUGUGUUCAAGUUAAAGGCCACUGUCUUAUGCAACUCGCGUUUAUAAUCUUUUUGAGUGUCUUUCUGUGAGGUUGACGAGGUAGAUUAGGGUUGUGCCGAAAAUAGAAAUAAAACUAAACUAAUGUCCAAAAGAAACGAUACCACACAUUUUUCUAAAUAUUUUAUUAUGAAGAGUUAAUUUUCGUCUGAAAAGGUACUUUUGCGUAUCCUACGUUCAAAACCAAACGUAUUCGGUCUAUAAAACCGGGAACAUUUGAUCUAUUGAGAAAAAAGCGUGCAAUUUGCCCAAAUGACGUUCCGUCCCGUAACACGAAAUGCACGUGCAUAUCUUCUGUAUAAAACUGCUGACCCGACACGUUGGGAUCACAGCAACAAAAAGCACACAAAAGAAAUGCCACGUUUGACAGCGAUUGAGAGAGAGAGAGCCGUAGGAAUGUUCUAACAGGGAGCUACGCACCGCGACGUCGCCAGAAGGUUAGGAUGCGCGCGCAUAACCAUCACCAGGUUAAUGCAGCGGUUGCGUCAAACAGGUCGGACAGCAGACAGGCCGAGAACCGGGAGACCACGGGUGACAACGCCUAUUGAAGACCGCCACAUCCGGGUACUUCACCUUCGGAACCGCUUCGUAACGGCGACGUUAACGGCACGGACGGCACUGGGACACGUGAAAAGUCGACAAAGCGUAUACAGGAGACUGCGGGCACAUGGUAUCCGAGCACAUCGCCCCUGACACCUAAACACCGACUCAACAGACGGAUAUGGGCCAGGCGACUUCGACGGUGGCAACGGUUGAACUGGGCACGUGUCAUGUUUUCUGACGAAAGCAGAUUUUGCAUCUUCAGGAACGACGGCCGGCAGCGUGUGUACCGAACUGAGGUGAACGUUUGGCACCGAACUGCAUCCAUCAAGUCAGGCCAUUUGGAGGCGGAGGUUUAAUGGUUUGGGGUGGAAUCUGCGGUGACGUCAAAAUGAGACUAGUCGUUAUUCGAGGAAACCAGAAUGCGCAGCGUUAUCGUGAUGACAUCUUACAACCAGUUGUGGUGCCAUUCAUCCAACAACAGCCUAAUGGUAUCAUUUUCCAGCACGAUAAUGCGAGGCCUCACACGGCAAGGCUGACCCAGAACUUCAUCAUGAUUGAAAAGGAUUGAUUACAAUGAAUUUUUGUACACAUACUGUGAAAACAUUACUCACAAGUCAUAUACCAAUUUGAAAAGUCUGUAUCGUUUAGUUUUUUUGUAAUGUCCUUUCAAACACGUGGUAUCGUUUCUUUUGGACAUUAGUUUAUUUUGAACCUGACUUUAUUCAGGGAAUUUAUGGAAUGAUGACCAACAUGUAUCCCAUUAACUACAUUGUUACUUACUAUGCCUCUUUGUAUGCACCACCCAAAGUUGUAUAAAAAGUGUAUACUUUCUACACCCUUAGCUUUAGGUAUGUCGGUGAUCUAAAAUCGUUGAAUAACGACCAAAUAGCCAAUUCCCUUCCACUGAUUUACCCACCUAAACUAGAUAUAAAGGAGAUUAAUGAAACCACCUGAUCUGUAUCAUAUUUAGAUCUAUGCAUAAAGAUUCAGAACGACUAAAAUAAAACUAUCCACUAGCCUGGAUGACACGAGGGAUGACUUCAACUUUCCAACUUUCCUUUUGGGUCGAGCAAUAUUCCAGCAGCUCCAGCCUUUGGUAUCUGCAUAUCUGUACGGGUGGCCCAGUCUAAGGCGCCGCGAUUCGCUGUGCAGAGUUGCGUCCCUUGGGCACACCAGAAACCUAUGAUUGGGGUUUCGAAUCCCGGUCAAUUAAUGUACAUUGGAAUAAUUGAGCUGAAAGUGUUUAUAUUUCCAAUUAGCACAAUAAUUCAACAUAAGUUUAAUAAAAUUUUAUUAUCUUCAAAAACGUUCCAAUACCCCUAGCCGCUUUUAUUCCCCACCAGAAGAAAAUAUUAAACCCAGUGUUCCAAUUAAAGGCCUCUGUUUAAAAGUUGUUUGAUCGAGGGUGCAACACCCAAGGCCUCAGUAAAGCUUUCAAAAAGUUGUGGAGGACACCUCCUGCGAUUUGACAUGGAAAUUGUACCAUAUAUGCUCCAGUGUUUUUCGGGCGAACAAUUGACUCACCUUCGCCUAGGUUUGUGGCCGGUGCCACCAUUUGGGUAGUAUACGCUCACCUUUUCGCGAACACCUGGUGUCAUUACUAUGUGAGAGUGAUUCUAUAAUUUGUUUACGCAUUUUAUUGACUUUAGAGUCUCGUAAGCCAUACUGGCCGGACAUUGUACAUAUCUACCCGAACUACAUAGCAUUUGUAUGUUGUACGA